This is a long non-coding RNA of Electrophorus electricus (electric eel), 765 nucleotides long. RefSeq lists it as uncharacterized. The record is from RefSeq and is a predicted model, not a curated record. Lineage: Eukaryota; Metazoa; Chordata; Actinopteri; Gymnotiformes; Gymnotidae.
GAGAGGAUGUGCGGAGGCAGACUGUCGGGCGGGUCCAGCAGUAGAGGCGCUCCCGGAGCCCACGGAGCUCACGGAAGUCCAUAUCGGACAGCAGAAUGACAGCAAGCACCGUGUAGUGAGGAAGACGAUAUAAUGUUUCACCUUCCCAAAAUGGGAGCCAUAAUGCUUAGAUUAAAAAAAGAGGCCCAGUGGACGACCACGGAUCCAGCGGAGGGACUGCGGAACUUGAUGGAGGCUGUACACUUGUGGAUAAGCCGUUUAUCAUCACGGCUCUGGAAUGCUGCUGAUAGGUCAAACAUGCCAAAGGAUCAGCAAUCAAUAACUUCAGAGGAAUGUUUUUACUCAGCUCCUGUCUCCGCGUCAGACCACACAUCUGCUUCCAAUAUCCCUGCCUCCAGACAGCACACUUACACUAUCACAUGUGAGUGUGUGUGGGGCGGUGGGGUGUCUUCAGACUGCCUGACACCCUCAUACACAAUAUCAGCUCCACUGCCUGAAAGACACGCACAAAAGUAUUUUAUCACCCCACCGGAGGAAAGAUAAAGAAGAUAUAAUGGCAAUUGCCUUGCUGGAUACAAUUAAUAACACUAAGAGUUACAAAGAGUCCCUGCGACUGAUCUGGAAUCAGUACCAAACAUAAUUGAUAGACGUGUGACUCAUCCAGGUUGUUACUGAACAACAUAAACUGACACUGGGUACUCGACUAAGUUGUGGCAUGUCUGACUCCAGUUUCAUAUCUGCCAUGUCAAAUAGCUCAGUGCAAUG